GACGAACGCUGGCGGCGUGCUUAACACAUGCAAGUCGAACGGAAAGGCCCUGCUUUUGUGGGGUGCUCGAGUGGCGAACGGGUGAGUAACACGUGAGUAACCUGCCCUUGACUUUGGGAUAACUUCAGGAAACUGGGGCUAAUACCGGAUAGGAGCUCCUGCUGCAUGGUGGGGGUUGGAAAGUUUCGGCGGUUGGGGAUGGACUCGCGGCUUAUCCGCUUGUUGGUGGGGUAGUGGCUUACCAAGGGUUUGACGGGUAGCCGGUCUGAGAGGGUGACCGGCGACAUUGGGACUGAGAUACGGCCCAGUCGCCUACGGGAGGCAGCAGUGGGGAAUAUUGCACAAUGGGCGGAAGCCUGAUGUAGCAACGCCGCGUGCGGGAUGACGGCCUUCGGGUUGUAAACCGCUUUCGCCUGUGACGAAGCGUGAGUGACGGUAAUGGGUAAAGAAGCACCGGCUAACUACGUG
RNAcentral lists this ribosomal RNA (468 nucleotides) under uncultured bacterium. RNAcentral's name for it is "partial 16S ribosomal RNA". It matches the Rfam family "Bacterial small subunit ribosomal RNA", at positions 28 to 507 of the family's 1533-position model. The record is from RNAcentral.